Molecule: ribosomal RNA, 716 nt
Filed under: uncultured bacterium
Lineage: Bacteria
Description: bacterial SSU rRNA
Rfam family: Bacterial small subunit ribosomal RNA
Source: RNAcentral
CCGCUGGCGGCAGGCCUAACACAUGCAAGUCGAGCGGUAGCAGGCCCUUCGGGGUGCUGACGAGCGGCGGACGGGUGAGUAAUGCAUAGGAAUCUACCCGGUAGUGGGGGAUAACCUGGGGAAACCCAGGCUAAUACCGCAUACGUCCUACGGGAGAAAGCGGGGGCUCUUCGGACCUCGCGCUAUCGGAUGAGCCUAUGUCGGAUUAGCUGGUUGGUGAGGUAACGGCUCACCAAGGCGACGAUCCGUAGCUGGUCUGAGAGGAUGAUCAGCCACAUCGGGACUGAGACACGGCCCGAACUCCUACGGGAGGCAGCAGUGGGGAAUAUUGGACAAUGGGCGCAAGCCUGAUCCAGCCAUGCCGCGUGUGUGAAGAAGGCUUUCGGGUUGUAAAGCACUUUCAGUGAGGAAGAACGCCUCGCGGCCAAUACCCGCGAGGGGAGACAUCACUCACAGAAGAAGCACCGGCUAACUCCGUGCCAGCAGCCGGGGUGAUACGGAGGGUGCGAGCGUUAAUCGGAAUUACUGGGCGUAAAGCGCGCGUAGGCGGCCAAGUAAGCCGGUUGUGAAAGCCCCGGGCUCAACCUGGGAAUGGCAUCCGGAACUGUUUGGCUAGAGUGCAGGAGAGGAAGGUAGAAUUCCCGGUGUAGCGGUGAAAUGCGUAGAGAUCGGGAGGAAUACCAGUGGCGAAGGCGGCCUUCUGGACUGACACUGAC